RNAcentral lists this ribosomal RNA (789 nucleotides) under Triticum aestivum (bread wheat). RNAcentral describes it as "partial small subunit ribosomal RNA". The record is from RNAcentral. Lineage: Eukaryota; Viridiplantae; Streptophyta; Magnoliopsida; Poales; Poaceae.
AUGAACCUGGCGCUCCUCACCCGUUGGCUCUGGCGCAUUGCGAAUGGCAAUGGAGGCCUAUGGUUGCAGAUCGUGCGCCAGAAAUACCUGCAUGGGCAACCCCUCGCCUUUUGCAUCUGGACCGAAGGGUCUCAGUUCUGGCAAUCUGUCAUACAGCUAGUACCGGUCCUUCGCAUUGGGACCUCCAUCUCGAUCGGGACUAGGUCAUCCAUGCUGUUUUGGCUGGACUGCUGGGUUGGGGACCUCCCCUUUGCUGCGAGGUUUCUUGACCUCUUUUCCAUCGCCGUUGACUCAAGGAUUUCCGUUGAGACAACCCUUAUUGACUUAGGGAGCCUCGCAUUCCGGUGGCCUUUUGGGCCCCUGGAAGUUGCCGCUUGGCACGAUCUCCUUGAUGCUGUCGCUCUUCAUGAGCCUGACCUGUCACACCCUCAAGACCGUCUGUCUUGGCGCCUUGAGCCUUUGGGAUGCUUCUCCACGAAGUCCUUGUACCGCGCCAUUGCCCCCUCUCCUAGCCCUGCUGUCUUCGAGUAUAUCUGGACCAUCUGUCUGCCACUCAAGAUCAGAAUUUUCAUGUGGCAAUGGAUCCGUGGUUGUCUUCCCUCUGGCGUGGAGGUGAUUAAGCGCCAUGGUCCGAGUGAUGGUAUCUGCCCCCUAUGCGGGACGAAAGAGACUUCGAAACACAUCUUCUUCUCGUGCGUGUCCGCCCAGUUCCUCUGGGGAUGCCUCCCCGAGGUGAUCGGUGGGGUUUGGUGUAACACCAACUUCCCUGGCCCCCUUGCCGAGAUUUAG